CCUACGGGAGACUGCAGUGAGGAAUAUUGGUCAAUGGGCUUACGCCUGAACCAGCCAAGUCGCGUGAGGGAAGACUGCCCUAUGGGUUGUAAACCUCUUUUGUCAGGGAGCAAUUUGCGCUACGUGUAGCGUUCUCGAGAGUACCUGCAGAAAAAGCAUCGGCUAACUCCGUGCCAGCAGCCGCGGUAAUACGGAGGAUGCGAGCGUUCUCCGGAUUUAUUGGGUUUAAAGGGUGCGUAGGCGGACUGCCAAGUCAGCGGUAAAAUGGCGGGGCUCAACCUCGCUCCGCCGUUGAAACUGGCGGUCUUGAGUGGGCGAGAAGAAGGCGGAAUGCGUGGUGUAGCGGUGAAAUGCAUAGAUAUCACGCAGAACUCCGAUUGCGAAGGCAGCAUACCGGCGCCCAACUGACGCUGAGGCACGAAAGCGUGGGUAUCGAACAGGAUUAGAUACCCUGGUAGUC
Molecule: ribosomal RNA, 460 nt
Filed under: uncultured bacterium
Lineage: Bacteria
Description: partial 16S ribosomal RNA
Rfam family: Bacterial small subunit ribosomal RNA
Source: RNAcentral